This 274-nucleotide ribosomal RNA is filed under the name uncultured bacterium. Its description in RNAcentral is "partial 16S ribosomal RNA". It matches the Rfam family "Bacterial small subunit ribosomal RNA", at positions 523 to 796 of the family's 1533-position model. The record is from RNAcentral.
AUACGGAGGGUGCAAGCGUUAUCCGGAAUCAUUGGGUUUAAAGGGUCCGUAGGCGGACUAUUAAGUCAGAGGUGAAAUCCCACAGCUCAACUGUGGAACUGCCUUUGAUACUGGUAGUCUUGAGUUAUAUGUAAGUAGAUAGAAUGUGUAGUGUAGCGGUGAAAUGCAUAGAUAUUACACAGAAUACCGAUUGCGAAGGCAGUCUACUACGUAUAUACUGACGCUAAGGGACGAAAGCGUGGGGAGCGAACAGGAUUAGAAACCCUAGUAGUCC